UUACUUACUGGCAGGGGAGAAGAUUACAUGAUCAAGGAAGGUGGUCAACCAGGGCGAGGGCUAACAAUUGCACUCGGUUAUGCUGGACCCCCUGCGAAGCCACAAAUGUGGGAAUCUCGGACUGCAAAUUGGUUGGUAGUGGGGGACUGCGUUAGCGCUCCUCCCAC
Etheostoma spectabile (orangethroat darter) is the source of this 167-nucleotide small nuclear RNA. RefSeq annotates it as U1 spliceosomal RNA. NCBI's taxonomy places the organism in Eukaryota, Metazoa, Chordata, Actinopteri, Perciformes, Percidae. The transcript has a single exon. The record is from RefSeq and is a predicted model, not a curated record.